GACGAACGCUGGCGGCGUGCUUAACACAUGCAAGUCGAACGGAAAGGCCCUGCUUUUGUGGGGUGCUCGAGUGGCGAACGGGUGAGUAACACGUGAGUAACCUGCCCUUGACUUUGGGAUAACUUCAGGAAACUGGGGCUAAUACCGGAUAGGAGCUCCUGCUGCAUGGUGGGGGUUGGAAAGUUUCGGCGGUUGGGGAUGGACUCGCGGCUUAUCAGCUUGUUGGUGGGGUAGUGGCUUACCAAGGCUUUGACGGGUAGCCGGCCUGAGAGGGUGACCGGCCACAGUGGGACUGAGAUACGGCCCAGACUCCUACGGGAGGCAGCAGGGGGGAAUAUUGCACAAUGGGCGGAAGCCUGAUGCAGCAACGCCGCGUGCGGGAUGACGGCCUUCGGGUUGUAAACCGCUUUCGCCUGUGACGAAGCGUGAGUGACGGUAAUGGGUAAAGAAGCACCGGCUAACUACGUG
RNAcentral lists this ribosomal RNA (468 nucleotides) under uncultured bacterium. RNAcentral's name for it is "partial 16S ribosomal RNA". It matches the Rfam family "Bacterial small subunit ribosomal RNA", at positions 28 to 507 of the family's 1533-position model. The record is from RNAcentral.